RNAcentral lists this ribosomal RNA (253 nucleotides) under uncultured bacterium. Its description in RNAcentral is "partial 16S ribosomal RNA". It matches the Rfam family "Bacterial small subunit ribosomal RNA", at positions 524 to 776 of the family's 1533-position model. The record is from RNAcentral.
UACGUAGGGUGCGAGCGUUGUCCGGAAUUAUUGGGCGUAAAGAGCUCGUAGGCGGUCUGUCGCGUCGGCUGUGAAAACCCGCAGCUCAACUGUGGGCCUGCAGCUGAUACGGGCGGGCUGGAGUUCGGUAGGGGAGACUGGAAUUCCUGGUGUAGCUGUGAAAUGCGCAGAUAUCAGGAGGAACACCGAUGGCGAAGGCAGGUCACUGGGCCGCAACUGACGCUGAGGAGCGAAAGCAUGGGGAGCGAACAGG